RNAcentral lists this ribosomal RNA (201 nucleotides) under uncultured bacterium. RNAcentral's name for it is "partial 16S ribosomal RNA". It matches the Rfam family "Bacterial small subunit ribosomal RNA", at positions 328 to 539 of the family's 1533-position model. The record is from RNAcentral.
ACGCUCGACACCUAGGAGGCAGCAGUCGGGAAUAUUGCGCAAUGGGAGGAAACUCUGACGCAGUGACGCCGCGUGCAGGAAGAAGGUUUUCGGAUUGUAAACUGCUUUAGGAACAGGGAAGAAAGAAAUGACAGUACCUGUAGAAUAAGCUCCGGCUAACUACGUGCCGGCAGCCGCGGUAAUCUGAGCGGCUGGCAAGGC